UGCCAUCCGCCGCGGUAAUACGGAGGGAGCGAACGUUGUUCGGAUUUACUGGGCGUAAAGGGCGUGUAGGCGGCUCCGCAAGUCAGAGGUGAAAUUUCUCGGCUCAACCGGGAACCUGCCUUUGAAACUGCAGGGCUUGAGGUCGUGAGAGGAGACUGGAAUUCCUAGUGUAGCGGUGAAAUGCAUAGAUAUUAGGAAGAACACCAGUGGCGAAGGCGGCUAACUGGCUCGGUACUGACGCUGAGAUGCGAAAGCGUGGGGAGCAAAAAGGAUUAGAUA
This 279-nucleotide ribosomal RNA is filed under the name uncultured bacterium. Its description in RNAcentral is "partial 16S ribosomal RNA". It matches the Rfam family "Bacterial small subunit ribosomal RNA", at positions 506 to 784 of the family's 1533-position model. The record is from RNAcentral.